This 253-nucleotide ribosomal RNA is filed under the name uncultured bacterium. RNAcentral describes it as "partial 16S ribosomal RNA". It matches the Rfam family "Bacterial small subunit ribosomal RNA", at positions 524 to 776 of the family's 1533-position model. The record is from RNAcentral.
UACGUAGGGUGCAGGCGUUAAUCGGAAUUACUGGGCGUAAAGCGUGCGCAGGCGGUUUGCUAAGACAGGUGUGAAAUCCCCGGGCUCAACCCGGGAACUGCGUCCGAUACUGGCAGGCUUGAAUCCGGGAGAGGGAUGCGGAAUUCCAGGUGUAGCGGUGAAAUGCGUAGAUAUCUGGAGGAACACCGGUGGCGAAGGCGGCAUCCUGGACCGGCAUUGACGCUGAGGCGCGAAAGCCAGGGGAGCAAACGGG